GUCAGACCUGGAGAGAGUAUUUUCCUUUGACGAAAAGAUAAGUCCACAAAAGAAAAAAGGGAAAAAGACUUAUGGAAGCAAUGGCAGGGUUAAAAAAAAUGGAGGAUCUCCACUUUACAAAAUGGAUGACCAUCUGCUGUGGGUACUCUGAUUCUGUGUUCCUGCAUGGCAAAGGGCUGGACUGAAUGGCACUUGUGGUCUCGUCUAAUUCUACAAUACUAUGAAAACUGCUAAAUGUGAAGGGGUAACAGUACAAUAAAAACCCCAUGUCACACAUCUUGGUCUCCACAUCUUUCAUCAUUGUUCAUCUCUAAACACAUUCGCCAGUAUCUUCCUGCUGCCCAAAAAGAAGUACACCAUAUCCACAAAUAAAAAUCAGAGACCAGCCACUGCACCACCUUUAAAAGGUAUCAGCAAAGGAAAGGAUGAUGACGCAUUUCCCCCAUGUGAAAAAGUCCCAGGAGAAUGAGGAAUGUGGCAGUGGCUCCUACCGCCAAGAGAGCAGCAGUCUACAGGAACAAAGGCACUUUGAGAAGGGAGAUCAUAUGUCUGCUAGGCAGGAUUUGUCCCAGUGAGCCAGUAAUUGGAGGCAGGUUCCAAAAAAGUGUGGAAUCACAGGCUCCAUAUUCACCAGGAGCUUGAAAACUAUUUUAAGGCAGAGUGGAACUAAAAGAUGGAAGAAAAAUUGCACCCAAUGAUGUUCCUUGUGCUGUAUUUGUCUUUCAGUUUGUAUUGUUACUGCUGUAUGCUGUUUUUUCUUUUACUUUGUACAGUAUUAUUUGUAUUGUUAUUGCUGUAUCGCGCAACAAUGUGAAGAUUAUCACACGACAUCAUGUGAUAAUCUUCACGUCACCACACAAUACUGACAGUCGCAUAUCACUAUGCUCCCGUGUCUUUGCUGGUGUGAUAAUCUCCUAAAUCUAUUCUAUGUUUGAUCAGUAUGUGUGUGUGUUAUGUGCCUUCAAGUUGCCUGUUGACCUAUGGCAUCCUCAUGAAUUUCAUAGGGCUGUUUUUAGGCAAGGAAUACUCGAGAGAUGGUUUUGCCAGUUCCUUCUACCUUCCGUUUAUUAUAUUUAUUUUAGUCACUCAUAUUCUUCCUUUUCCCCAAUAAUGAAUUGAAGGCAGCUGACAAAAUAUUAGGAACAGAUUUAAACAUACAAAACAUCAGUAAAAAUAUAUGUUAUCUUUAAAAGUAAUUCAUCUAUGGAAUUAGAACUAUUAAAAUGUGGAUAUAUUAAAACAAAACAAUGCACCAUUUAAAACCUAUGUUAGUCUGAUGUUACAUACACAUAGUGGAACCUGGUGGUUGAGGGACUAGGUAAGCAACCUACUCCACCAGCUGACACAUCUGCCCAUUUACCUGUGAGCUCUAAGGCCUCACUUGUGAACAAUAUUCUAUAUUCUAUAUUAUUAUUAUUGUUAUUAUUAUUAUUAUUACCCCACCUUUCUCCCAACAAUGGGAAUCAAGGCAGCCAACAACAUAAAACGCAGAUUAAAAACUACAGUCAUCCCUCCAUAUUUGCGGCUUUGAUAUUUGUGGAUUUGAUUAUUCACGGAUUUCAUUAAUAUGUUCU
Molecule: long non-coding RNA, 1574 nt
Organism: Sceloporus undulatus (fence lizard)
Lineage: Eukaryota; Metazoa; Chordata; Lepidosauria; Squamata; Phrynosomatidae
Exons: 3
Source: RefSeq, a predicted model, not a curated record